CCGGGUGGCGAGGAAGGAGGUGGAGAGGUCAGGUGGCCAGCCCUGGCUGGGGCAGCCCUUCCAGCUCCUGGUUCUGCUUCAGUUCCCUCAUCCUGCGGAGACAGAGGAGGACUGAGGAGACCAGGGAAUCAGCAAAGAGGCAACUAUUGAGGAAGACCUUCAGCAACAGUCUAGAGAGAGUGGCUCCAGAGUUCAUCAGCCAGUUCAGGUCCCUUCUCAAACACCACCAGGGGCCUCAGCCAGAAUGGAGCUAUGGCUGUGAAGAAGCCAGCUUCUUCCCACCCAUCUUUCUUUGAAGAAGAAUAUGGAGGUUUUUUUCUGAGCUGAUCACCUGGCAGAGGCAGAGCUGGGGAAAUGGUCCACAUUCUCCAGAAGUACCUGAAUUGGAGAAACCUCUGGACCCUGGCAAGAUGCCUGCCCAGCUGCUGCAAUCUCUGCCAUCCGCUUCUCCAUCUGCUCCAGCCGUUCCAGGAUGGACAUCCGGAACUGUCUUUCCUAGGCAGAAUGUUCCCUUAGUUCUUUUCCCAGACACUCCCUGUCUGCUAUGCUGGGCUGAAGGACUCCAGGAUUCCUCCUCUAAGGCCCCAAGAGUAAAGCAGAUUACGGACCAGAGCCUGUGAGAGAAGAUGGAUGGCAAGAGACAAGAAAACUAAGGGCACAGCUGAAAAGAACCAGGAGGCAACAGAGCCGCCAACAGGAUGAGAAAAGAACAGCAGAUCUUGGGGAGAGUAGCAGGAUCAGACAAUUUGCAAAACUCCAGUUAAGAAAAUGAACAAAAGCAUCAGAAACAGAACCACCUUAAAAUAUGCCUACAUACAUAUAGGUGUGUGCCUAUUGCCUCUUAUCCUGGGAAUCUAUGUCAACAAUAGCAAUGUCAGUAGUGUUACAGAUUUCCAAUUUCCUGUUUGUAUUUUCCUAUAAUUUCUAACAUUCCUAUAAUGAAUACAUAUCUUUAUAAUCAAAAGGAACACAGAAAUUAUAUGAUUUUUUUUCUGAGAUAGGGAUCUUGCUAAGUUGUCCAGGGAGGCCUCAGACUUGAGAUCCUCCUACCUCAGCCUCCAGAAAAGCUAGAAUUAUAAAUGUACACUGCUACUCCUUGCUAAGCUUUAUUUAUUUAAUAGAAAAUUUGAGCUGUGCAUGGUGGUACAUGCCUACAAUCCCAACCUGCACUUGGGAGGUAGAGGUAGAAGGAUCCAGGAGUUCAAGGUCAUUUGGUACACAGUGUGUUUGGGGUCAGCCUGGACUAGAUGAGACCCUAUUCAAAAAAAUAACAAAAAUUGUGCUUGCAUGGUAGUACAUGCCUUUGAUUCUAG
Molecule: long non-coding RNA, 1313 nt
Organism: Nannospalax galili (Upper Galilee mountains blind mole rat)
Lineage: Eukaryota; Metazoa; Chordata; Mammalia; Rodentia; Spalacidae
Exons: 5
Source: RefSeq, a predicted model, not a curated record